RNAcentral lists this ribosomal RNA (254 nucleotides) under uncultured bacterium. RNAcentral describes it as "partial 16S ribosomal RNA". It matches the Rfam family "Bacterial small subunit ribosomal RNA", at positions 524 to 776 of the family's 1533-position model. The record is from RNAcentral.
CACGUAGGGCGCAAGCGUUUGUCCGGAAUUAUUGGGCGUAAAGAGCUCGUAGGCGGCUUGUCGCGUCGAAUGUGAAAACCCACGGCUCAACUGUGGGCGUGCGGGCGAUACGGGCAGACUGGAGUACUGCAGGGGAGACUGGAAUUCCUGGUGUAGCGGUGGAAUGCGCAGAUAUCAGGAGGAACACCGGUGGCGAAGGCGGGUCUCUGGGCAGUAACUGACGCUGAGGAGCGAAAGCGUGGGGAGCGAACAGG